AAAAAUAAUAAAUAAAAAGGAAAGCAUGAUGAGAAAAAGGAUUUAGAAAGGGAGAAAAGAAAAUAAAAAUGAGUGAGGGGCUGGAAGAAAAGAAAAGGAAAAUAGGAGUGAAGAAGAAUAGAGAAGAUGGGUGAUGGAGAAAGGGAAAAAACCUGAUUAUGUGCUUAAGAAAAACCCUAAUAACAGUGUUUUUGUCCCCGGUGUAGAAGAUUGUCUAUGACUUACCUAAAGCAACAUCAAUUGUUUUCUUUUAUUAUUUAAAUUAGAUUUGGUGUGCGUGAGAUAUGGUAAAUAUCACUUACGUGGUUGAAUCAAUUGUGGUGAGUAUGUAUUUAACAAAAGCACUAGUCAAGUCAUUAUUACAUGUAUCCUAUGAUUUGUGUUCUGAAUCCUAGUAGAGAAAAAUCUUUUACGAUUUUUACAUUGCUAACUUUUCUUUUUCUUCCCCACCCCCCUUUUUGUGUGUUUAAUUGUAAUAGACAUCUAGAAAUGACAAUGAUUAAUGAUUUCAUAUCUCUAGUCCUCAGCCUUUCCUUCUAUUUUUGUUUUAAAGAAACAUUAAUGAGAUUAUGUUAUAUAGGUCUGGGAACUUGACCCUAAAU
RNAcentral lists this unclassified non-coding RNA (602 nucleotides) under Hevea brasiliensis (rubber tree). The record is from RNAcentral. Lineage: Eukaryota; Viridiplantae; Streptophyta; Magnoliopsida; Malpighiales; Euphorbiaceae.